Molecule: small nuclear RNA, 102 nt
Organism: Molossus molossus (Pallas's mastiff bat)
Lineage: Eukaryota; Metazoa; Chordata; Mammalia; Chiroptera; Molossidae
Source: RefSeq, a predicted model, not a curated record
AUGCUCGCUUCACCAGCACACAUACUAAAAUUGGAACAAUACAGAGAUUAGCAUGGGCCCUGUGCAAGGAUGGAAUGAAAAUUUGUGGUGUUCCAUAUUUUU